CCUACGGGAGGCAGCAGUAAGGAAUAUUGGACAAUGGGCGAAAGCCUGAUCCAGCCAUGCCGCGUGAAGGAUUAAGGUCCUCUGGAUUGUAAACUUCUUUUAUGUGGGACGAAAAAAGGGCAUUCUUGCUCACUUGACGGUACCAUUUGAAUAAGCACCGGCUAACUCCGUGCCAGCAGCCGCGGUAAUACGGAGGGUGCAAGCGUUAUCCGGAUUCACUGGGUUUAAAGGGUGCGUAGGCGGGUAGGUAAGUCAGUGGUGAAAUCUCGAAGCUUAACUUCGAAACUGCCAUUGAUACUAUCUAUCUUGAAUAUUGUGGAGGUUUGCGGAAUAUGUCAUGUAGCGGUGAAAUGCUUAGAUAUGACAUAGAACACCGAUUGCGAAGGCAGCAGGCUACACAUAUAUUGACGCUGAGGCACGAAAGCGUGGGGAUCAAACAGGAUUAGAUACCCUGGUAGUCCACGCCCUAAACCGAUGAUUACUCGACAUACGCGAUACACUGUGUGUGUCUGNGNGAAGANAUAUAAUACACCNGGAGUACGUCGCGAGAGAGAACGACAANAGAGUUAGACGGACGUUGAGAGNGCGACGGACGACACGAGGGGAGGUUAGG
RNAcentral lists this ribosomal RNA (613 nucleotides) under uncultured bacterium. RNAcentral's name for it is "bacterial SSU rRNA". The stretch from base 1 to 533 matches the Rfam family "Bacterial small subunit ribosomal RNA", at positions 338 to 873 of the family's 1533-position model. The record is from RNAcentral.